UACGGUAGGAAUAUGAUCAAUUUGUUUGAUUGUAAGCACUUCUUAAAAUCCUCAUCAUCCCCUCGAGUUAGUCAUGCAAUAAUAAAUACUCAUGGGGAUCAGUUAUGAGAUUGUGCCAUUUGAUCAACAGAUCCAUCUUAAAUAGGUAAUUAACAUGACAUCACCACAGCCUGGGAUUCAAACAAUCUAUUUAUAACUAAUAACAACUGCUUAUUCUAUAUUACCCUUCAAUAAUCAUGCAGUCUUCCCAUAAGAGCCAGCUUUGCCAGACUGAUAUCUGAAAAUGCUUGAGAAUGCAGAUUUCUGUGAUGAUUGCCAAAAACAAGCAAAUAAAAGAUAAAGCAUCCUAAAAAGCAGAUAACAAAAACCAAAAGCAGCAUCCAAUGUCACUGCUGCAUUUUAUUUUAUUUGUUGCAAUUUAAACAAAGGAGCAUCCUUGCAAGAUAUCUCAUAAAAUGGUUCGCUGAUAGAGAGGUAGAGCUCCCAAUGCCUCUCGUUCUCCCCUCUCCUGUUUCACCUGCAACAAAUAAAAGUGACCAUUAGUAGCAUAAACUUAAGCUGGAAAAAAUAGUAGACUCAGUGGUUUAAAAAGUCAUUCAUCAGAUACUCCAUUUAUAUCAGUCAAAUGCACCACAUGCCAAUUGCUAGAAUUAAGUACCAUAAUCCAAAGGAAAUUUGGUGAUGUCCAGACUGUUACAAUCAAAUUCUGAUGACAAUUUCAGAUAUAAUGCCAUGUUGAUCAAAGGUUGGGUCUUCAUGAUGUCACAAAAAAAAUAACAGUGAUUCCAGUUGUUGAAGAUGAAAAGACUAGUGUGAAGAAAGAGUGAAUAGACUAGAGAUGGGGGUGAAAGAGGUAGAAACCAUUUGGUUCGUAGUUGGAAGAGAAAGGCUUUUCUUUGCCAUGAAUCCAGCAUG
RNAcentral lists this long non-coding RNA (915 nucleotides) under Phoenix dactylifera (date palm). RNAcentral's name for it is "long non-coding RNA (PDAC_LNC015910)". The record is from RNAcentral. Lineage: Eukaryota; Viridiplantae; Streptophyta; Magnoliopsida; Arecales; Arecaceae.